This 743-nucleotide ribosomal RNA is filed under the name Cytospora schulzeri. Its description in RNAcentral is "partial large subunit ribosomal RNA". It matches the Rfam family "Eukaryotic large subunit ribosomal RNA", at positions 87 to 861 of the family's 3401-position model. Lineage: Eukaryota; Fungi; Ascomycota; Sordariomycetes; Diaporthales; Cytosporaceae. The record is from RNAcentral.
CGGCGAGUGAAGCGGCAACAGCUCAAAUUGAAAGCUGGCUCCGGCCCGCAUUGUAAUUUGCAGAGGAUGCUUCUGGUGAGGUGCCUUCCGAGUUCCCUGGAACGGGACGCCAUAGAGGGUGAGAGCCCCGUAUGGAUGGACACCAAACCUGUGUGAAGCUCCUUCAACGAGUCGAGUAGUUUGGGAAUGCUGCUCUAAAUGGGAGGUAAAUCUCUUCUAAAGCUAAAUACCGGCCAGAGACCGAUAGCGCACAAGUAGAGUGAUCGAAAGAUGAAAAGCACCUUGAAAAGGGGGUUAAACAGUACGUGAAAUUGUUGAAAGGGAAGCGCUUGUGACCAGACUUGCGCCGGGCAGCUCAUCAGGGGUUCUCCCCUGUGCACUCUGCCCGGCUCAGGCCAGCAUCGGUUCUCGUGGGAGGAUAAGAACGGUAGGAACGUGGCCCCCUUCCGGGGGGGUGUUAUAGCCUACCGUACGAUACUCCCGUGGGGACCGAGGUUCGCGCUCCGCAAGGAUGCUGGCGUAAUGGUCAUCAGCGACCCGUCUUGAAACACGGACCAAGGAGUCGUCCAUUAGAGCGAGCGUUUGGGUGUAAAACCCGCACGCGUAAUGAAAGUGAACGCAGGUGAGAGCUUCGGCGCAUCAUCGACCGAUCCUGAUGUCUUCGGAUGGAUUUGAGUAAGAGUUUUAACGGACGGACCCGAAAGACAGUGAACUAUGCUUGUAUAGGGUGAAGCCAGAGGAAA